AGUGGCGAACGGGUGAGUAACACGUAGGUGACCUGCCCCAGAGAAGAGAAUAACCAUGCGAAAGCGUGGCUAAUACUCUAUAAGGUCGGUUAUUCGGUUAGCCGAUUAAAGUUACGGCGCUCUGGGAGGGGCCUGCGGCCCAUCAGCUAGUUGGUAGGGUAAUGGCCUACCAAGGCGAUGACGGGUAGCUGGUCUGAGAGGACGAUCAGCCACAAUGGGACUGAAACACGGCCCAU
RNAcentral lists this ribosomal RNA (236 nucleotides) under uncultured bacterium. RNAcentral's name for it is "partial 16S ribosomal RNA". It matches the Rfam family "Bacterial small subunit ribosomal RNA", at positions 94 to 334 of the family's 1533-position model. The record is from RNAcentral.